AACUUUCAGCAAUGGAUCUCUUGGCUCUCGCAUCGAUGAAGAACGCAUCGAAAUGCGAUAAGUAAUGUGAAUUGCAGAAUUCAGUGAAUCAUCGAAUCUUUGAACGCACCUUGCGCUCCUUGGUAUUCCGAGGAGCAUGCCUGUUUGAGUGUCAUUAAUAUAUCAACCUUCUCUUUUUGAGUGGUUUGGAUGUGGGGGUUUGCUGGCCUCUUAAAAAGGUCUUGGCUCUCCUGAAAUACAUUAGCAGAACAACCCUGUUCAUUGGUGUGAUAAACUAUCUACGCUAUUGAAUGUGAAGGGCAGUUUGGCUUUCUAACAGUCCUUGGACAAGCUCAUCAUUAAUGUGACCUCAAAUCAGGUAGGACUACCCGCUGAACUUAAGCAUAUCAAUAAGCGGAGGCU
RNAcentral lists this unclassified non-coding RNA (402 nucleotides) under uncultured Cortinarius. RNAcentral's name for it is "sequence contains ITS2". The stretch from base 1 to 154 matches the Rfam family "5.8S ribosomal RNA". Lineage: Eukaryota; Fungi; Basidiomycota; Agaricomycetes; Agaricales; Cortinariaceae. The record is from RNAcentral.